AAGUCGUAACAAGGUUUCCGUAGGUGAACCUGCGGAAGGAUCAUUAAAAAAUUGAGGUAUUUUAUACCUCUUGUAUUUAAAACCCUACUCUUUAAAUAUAAUUUUUUUUUUUUAAAAAAAAAACUUUCAACAAUGGAUCUCUUGGCUCUC
RNAcentral lists this unclassified non-coding RNA (150 nucleotides) under Dentiscutata heterogama. Its description in RNAcentral is "partial internal transcribed spacer region". The stretch from base 1 to 46 matches the Rfam family "Eukaryotic small subunit ribosomal RNA", at positions 1786 to 1831 of the family's 1831-position model. The record is from RNAcentral. Lineage: Eukaryota; Fungi; Glomeromycota; Glomeromycetes; Diversisporales; Gigasporaceae.